This is a non-coding RNA of Chlorocebus sabaeus (green monkey), 4091 nucleotides long. The record is from RefSeq and is a predicted model, not a curated record. Lineage: Eukaryota; Metazoa; Chordata; Mammalia; Primates; Cercopithecidae.
GGCUGAAGCUGGAGAAUCAUUUGAACCUGGGAGGAGGAGGUUGCAGUGAGCCAAGAUUGCACCACUGCACCCCAGUCUGAGGGACAGCAAAACUCUGCAUCCAAAAACAAAAACAAAACAAAACAAAAAAACAACAAAAAAAAAAGGUGUAGCAAAAGCCCAAAGUUGAAUUAGCAGCCUUCUGAUCAUGGGAGUAUAGAAUGUCAGCUAAAAAGGACCUCCGCGGAUGGCAAGACAGAUGAAAACUGAGGCCCAGAAGUGUUUCAUGACUUGAUUAGAUCACUCAGGUGUGCACUGGGAAAUGAGUUAUCAUGAUGCCCCUAAUCUAUAUGAACCCAAUAAAGCCAACACACACACACCUUUUAAGGAUAAAACUAUAUUCCAUUAAAAUUAGCCCCACAUUUGUCAAUAUCCAACAGCAUUGGACUGACCCUCAGGCCAGAGGCUGUAGCUCUUGGAAGAUCCUAGCCAGGAGGCUCAAGAGUGGCCAGUACCUCAGAAGUGCUGGCUCACUCUGACAUCAGCAGAACCUGGCAUAUAGUAGGUGCUCACUGGAUAUUUGCUAUGGAAAUUUGGCAGGAAAGUGUGUCUAUGUCUGGAAACAAGGAGGCAGAGCCGAAGCAGAGAUUCCCAAGCAGAUUCUUUCUGCAAACUACAAAACAGAAGCUUCCCUAGCUCAGAAUGCCAUCCACCUGGCUCUUUCUGCAAUUGUUUUUCAGUGGAUCCUGUUACACUGCAAAGAAGAAAUGGCAAACUGGUAACAGCUGCUGUGCCUAAAAGAUGGUUCUACCCUGACGUUUCCUGGAAUAAUGCCGAGGACUGCCUGUCAGGGAGCCGCUUCAUUCAGUUCACUUCAUCUCGGAAGCACCUGACCCCUGCCUUGGAUCCAGCGGCCCUCCUGGGAGCUGAGGAAGGAGGAACUCCCAUGUGUCUGCUCCCGGAGCUGCCACAACCCUUUUUCCUGCAACUCGGAACCUGGAAAAAGGAACCCAGGACAUCACUUUGCUUUUGUUUUGGACCUAGUUGGUGAUUAUACUCUCUCUUCCAUGGAGACUACCCCUUGCAUCCUUCCUUCCAUAUGAGAUUUAGGAUAGAAAUUAAAAAGAAAACAUCUUAUUUUGAGUCUUGAUUUGGAGAAAGGUAGUAUUCGGGGAGAAGCAGGCUAUGAUACACACAGAAAAUUUGAGGACAGAGUUACUUAACAAGGACAUUUCUGUCUCUGCAGCAGUCACAGCUUGGAGGAAACCAGUUCGCACUAUUUGAUGAGGAACUGGGCCACCAAACCACUGAUACUUUCCCAAAGGUUUGGCAGAAAUUGUUUUUCGAGUGACUCACCAGAGUCCUAGAAGAAUCAGCAUGGAAUUAGAGGACAGUGACCUACCCUAACCAAAGACAUGAGCGAUGUGUGAAGUCUAGUGUCAAUUUAUUCAGAAAAUAUCAAAAUUAUUUUGGGAGCUAUGGGUCAGAGUUGAUAGGCACAAACAAAUACACAAACAAAAACAUAGGUACUUUAAAUUUACAGCUUGGAUAAGAAAAAGAGAGAUGUUGUCAUUUCUCUUCUUCAAUCCAACUUUAGAUUUGGAUUAAUUAGAAAAAUUUGGAAAAAGAUAAUUAGAAGUCAGAAAUUGUUAUUGCCAGAAAAGAGCCCUAAACCCUGAAACAAACAAACAAACAAACGAAAAACCGGGCCCUCCUCUUGGGGAGUGAUAAACCUCGAUUACUGUUGAUAGUAAAACUGAUAUCAACUCUUCCAGUGAAAACCAGUGAAAGGCGAACGUAAACCUUACCCUAGAUUAAGGUCUGAAAACUGUUUACAAUAUAUAUUUGAAAGUUCCAUUAUUUAAAAUAUGUAUUAGACAUGCUUUGUAAUGUUAAGUUACUUUAAAAAAUCUUACACAAGGGAGGGGAAGUAUGUAUUAUUCCUUCAUUUAAAAAGAGAUAAUGUGUGAAUAUUAGUUAAUGUUUAUCGUACAUUUACUACCUGUGUUGAGGCAUAGUGUGACACACUUUAUUUCAAUUAUUUAAUUUGAUUCUAACAACGAAUCCCCUGAGCUGGAUAAUAUCCUCUUCGUUUUACAGAUGAGACAAUUGAGCCUUGGAGGUUAAACAAACGAUUUCCUAAGCUCAUUCAGCCAAUAAGUGGUAGGGGACUGCUUGACACCGGUCCGAUUGAUCCUCAAAUCCAUGAUUUCUGCCAUCAUAUUCACAGAAACAAGACAAGAGCUGAAAUUAUAGUCUGACUCUUGAAACAGUCAAAGAAUUGUGUAUGUUUAUGAAAGUUCUGAUUAAUAAGAUAUUCUGAGGACAAAAGACAUGGAUAGAUGGGCAAUGUGUAGAUUAGAAUGUAUCACAAUGUCCACUAAAUAAUAAAACCAUAGAAAAUGAAAUGUAAUCCUUACUGUGUAGAAUAUUUAGAGUAGAUUGUUUUUUCCUGGGUAUCAGUCACUAUUACACUAUACAAGAAUGAAAUUAAACAAGAAACAGUUCCUUUGGUUAUUUUAUUUUUUUAAAGGUGGGAGUUAUAAAAACAGUAUUUGCCAUCUGGUUUUAAUUAUGGCUUUGGAAACUCUAUGGGUACAAUUUGUUGUCAUCGUUGUUGUUACCACUACCAAUACAGAGACUCUAAUUGUGACAUUAGUUUCUAAAUCAGAUAGUGAAUAAUUACGUUUUCAAUGUUGUCUUAACAUAGAUACAAGUUAACAGGAUAUGCUUCUGGUGUGUUUCUGGAUUCUAAGGGUAGAACCAACAUAAAACUAGUCAGUCCAAGUAUUUCUAAAGAUCCCCAGACACAGUUCUCCUGGAUUUGGGAAGCCUAGAGAUAUUAGCAGAAUAACUAUGGCCCAAGUGGGUAUAAAAUUUUGUCUGAAAUUAAAGAGAUAUUGAUUAGAUAAUCCCCAGAGACUGCUUUUUAGUGAUUAUCUUCCAGCAGGGUAAAACAACAGCAACCUGAAAACCCAAAAGACCAUAUGUUUUAAUGGCAAGUCCUUCCCAGGAAGAAUUAAUCAAUCUGAGAAUUCAUCUGUAAAUCCAGGAGGAAGAAAUCAAGAUGAAAACUGUCAUAUUGAUAAAUUUGAUGGUUGCAAUUUCAUCGUUUGACAUAGUGCAAUUGCUUGAGAUUUGAAAGGGAACUUACUUUUGAGUAAGUCACUUUAUCUGUUUAGAUUUGAAAGGCACUUUACUUUAGAGUCAGUCACUCAGUCUCUUUUUUGAAAAGGCAAAUGCCACACCUGACCCUCAUCAUUCCCUUCUCCUUUGUCCAUAGCCUGGCUUUAUUCUGCCAUUCACACACACACACACACACACACACACACACACACACACACACAUUGGGAAGAGAUGUCUCAUUUUACAGAAAGUAUGCCGGGCUACACAGGAUAUUCUAUCAGGUUUCUUCCAGCUAUAAAAUUCUGAUACUAUCAAAUUAAAGUACAAAUUAGAUGUACUACAAUUUGCUUCUAGUGAUACUCAUUGCUAAUUUCCUAUAUUCACUGGCAUAAAAAAAAUUCAAAGACCCCCUCAUAAAAGGCUAUACUGGUGGUACCAGGAAACACUGAAAAUCAUUACUCUCUGUGUUGUGUCCAGCUUUUUUGGCUACAUCAUCACUUCGACCAUUCACUUUUAAAGAAAAACUUCUGUGGAACAAAAAUGUAAAGAUUUUUCUUUUUUUCUUGGCGGCUUAGCUCAGUGGCCUAAUGUGGCUGACUAUGUGUGCCUGUUGUGUGAGUCACUUAGACGUGCUUUGUUUCUUGGUCACAGUUUAUCCCUCAACGCAAGCAUCUCACCCUCAAAAUGUGUGUUUGGGACCCAACUGCAAACCUGGAGAUGGGUUAUUUCUUUCACCUUGGAUUGGCUCAUCUGCUGUGAGUGGAGCCAAGCUGACACUUCCUUUCCUUUCUCUUCUUUCCUUCCUUUUUCUCUGCCUAUCACUAGGUAGAGGCGGCACAUAAGAGAGGGAAAGUCAUGCACGUGGAGUCCAGCAGAUCACCCAGAAGGCAGAUGUUCUAUCUCCAGUUUACUCAUUAAAACAAACAAAACCACACCUGGAUUGCCUGGUACUUAAAUAAAAUGCACUAUGAUGACUGAAGAAAAAU